RNAcentral lists this long non-coding RNA (1129 nucleotides) under Homo sapiens (human). Its description in RNAcentral is "non-protein coding lnc-FAM182B-13:2". Lineage: Eukaryota; Metazoa; Chordata; Mammalia; Primates; Hominidae. The record is from RNAcentral.
CAACAGUAUUAGACAAAUCAUCAAGGCAUUUGUUUUAAAAUGUUAGCUAAAGAACGCACAAUCUAUAUGACUCUCUGGAGUAAAACUCUUAGGGAUUUUCAUUGUUCAAAGUAGAGAUGUAGUUGACAUGAAGGGAUGUCUGCCUAGUUCACAAAAGUAUGACCAUGAAAAUAUCAUUUCUAUGAUACUCCCUCGUUAUGGGUGAUGCUCAGAGAAGAGGGAAUGAGAGAGGUAGCAUUGACUAUUUAAAAUCCGUCCUGAGGUCAGACCCACAAAUGCAUUUUCUGUUAUUUUAUUUCAAUACUGAUAAGUAGGCCUAGAGGUUUUUUUUUCUUGUCCAAUCAGAACAUGUAAUCCAGGAACUGCAUUUGCAUAACCUCUUAUGCUGAGGUCAUGUCAGGUCAUUUCAGGCUCUUCUGUGUCGAGCGGAGGAGCUACUCUGUGCCCAGCUUAGAGGACUGGAAGAGGCCGCAACCUUCCACCUGCUGGAGGUUGGAAGAUGGAUGGAGGCUGGAGGAUGGAUGGAGCCUGGAGCCUGGAGCCUGGGUCACUACCUCGCUACGGUUGGUGGUGGCGAUAGAGCAGUAGGAGGGCGGCGGGCAGCAGGAGCUUCUGCUGGGCUGGAGAACUAGAAGGAAGAGGCACUGCCACAUGCUGGAGGCUGGAACCUGUGCCAUCAUGGCUCGCCUCGCUGUGAUUGUCAGUGAUGUCGGAGACUGCAGCUCAGCCACAGUGGUAGAAAUGUGAUGGGGUAGGUGAGUUUCCGUGCCUGCCCUGUACGCCUCUGGGGGCAAGGGUUGGGUGUCCUAUUGGGGCUCACUGCUAGAGGCUACCCUGCCUGUGGCAGUGGUCUGGUUGGGGGCACUCUCUGGUGUUGCAUUGCUGGCUGUGGGGCAGGUUGGCUGGCUAUCUGGGGCUAUACUGCCCGUGGUGGCAGGGGUGGUGGGGGGAGGCAGAUUGUGUACACUAGCGUGUAUUGCCGGCGGCUGGUGAAGGAUUAGGGGUGCUAUCUUCUGCUGCACUGCCUGCGGCAGGGGGUGGGUUGGGUGGAGUUAUCUGGGGCUACAAUGCUGGCAGUUGGGGGUGGUUUAGGGGCGUUGUUGGGUGCUGCACUGCCUGUGACUGGGGG